UUAAGGCCAUGGGAAGCUCCUGUCUCCUUGAACUGUGAAAGCAGUCUUAUGUGGCCAUCGACCUGCUCCAUGGAAUAGGACCCUCAGACAAUCAAGUAUCAGGAUGUGGCCCCUGGUGCUGCCUGCUUCAGCCUAAUCUAUGGAUUUGAAUGUGGAAUGUCUGCCUGAGAAAGCUGCAAGUCCUGAGUGCAACCAACCCAAGCGAAAGGUCAUGUGUUGCAAAUGACUGGACUGAUGGAAUGGAUCCGUUCAAGCUCACUGAAGUUCACAUGAAGCCAACACGUGCCCCACAGAUGGAGAUCUGAAGCUCAUCAGUGCGGCUAGGCUGUCUGGCCAACCAGCUCCAAGGAUCAACUUUCCCACUCCCCCCAGUGCUGCUGUCAGACUGGAACACUGUGUUCAGGGUUCCCUGAGCCCUGAGGGGAGGAAUUUGAUGGAAACAUCCUGUUUAGAGCCAAGUGUCCCAAGGUCCAAAAGAGACAUUUUAAAAGGGACAUCAAGAUGACCAACAUGAGUGUUUAGUUUCUCUGCAAGGAACAUAGAUAGCACUUGGCUCUGUCUUGUGGAGAACAGUCAUAGAUGCCAGCUUCCCUGAUCCCUACUCUGCCUGUUCCAGAGUGACGAGCUGCCGGGACCCCUUCACCAUGUGCUUGGGUAAGACUCUCUGAAUGGAAGUUACUCUCAUCCAAGUGAAGCCAAGCCAUCUCCACUCCACCCCUCUGAUGCCCUAUCAGAGUUCUCUUCACUCCGUGGUCCAGGGAUUCCCAAGUACAUCAAGAUAAACCUCCUACCCCACCACACCCUGCCAGGUCCAGGGUGUCCUCAAUCCUGCUCCUGCUCACCCACCAGGUUUGGAUCAUGGCUCUCACUGCAGAGCCAGCAGCCCAUUGGCCACUGGAAACCGAGUACUUGCCAGACUUAAGCCAGCUCUGGGCAGUAAACACUGGAGGUGAAAGAGGCUCUGGUCUCAAGGGUCCUUGGUCUCUACUUCUCUUUGCCGCUCCAAGUGGCCAUUGAGGAAUCUGGCCACCAAGAGUGGGAACUCCCAAGCUGGCAGGACACACCGUCCAGGGGACCCUGGGCUCUCCAGUAUGGUACACAGGACUCUUGCUUCACUGUUGGGUAAUGUGCUGUGGUUAUUACCAGUAUUUUGCAAGAAGUGAUGUUUAUGCGAUAUUUUACCACUGGCAAUUUGCUCGUGGUUUUCAGUUGGUGCCAAACCAGUCUCCAAAGACUGGAGUUCUGGAAACACACAGGGGGCAUGCGGAGCUGAGCCGGCUACCUUCAGAGCUCAGACUUGAGGCAGAACUCGCAAUUCACACUGCCUCCUAGGGCACCACUCAAGGGUCAAAGCCAUGUGCAGCAGAGCUCUGGUGCCUCCAUCAUAACCAGUCAGGCUCUCCACUUUGUCCUCCAGCCCAGGGUCAGACUGUUUGGCUAUUGUCACACCUCCCACUCAACAUCCUAAUCCCAGGGAACUAAGCUAGUUUGCAGAGGCAAACCCAAAGCAGGGGACCUUCUCUACUGGGCCAGAUCUUUGCUCACUACCUACCUCUCCUCUAGGUGCCCCUAUUAGCAGUUAUCUUCAGGCUGGCACCUACGAAUCCAUCCAGGCACUGGCAGUCUGCCCUAGGUUCUUCCCCUGAUAGCCCAAGUCCCCAUUGGUUUGAUUCCUCUUCUUGAAAUUAUAUCUAUUGCCAUUGCUUCAUCCCCAGGACUAAGUUCUUCUGCCUCCACAUGGGCCAUGGCAAAAGUCCCUGCCUGGAUUAUUUUGGGUGCUCUUCAUCCAUCCUCUUCCUUAUACUCAGAGUCAUACCCCAAUAGUGUCCAGAGUGGAUGCCUUGCCAAGAAGCCCAGAACAUGUUACAAGCCUCCAUGGGCCUCUCAGCCUUUUCUCUUAUGAAUAUACCUCCCCUGACCCCAACACCUAGGCAGCCCCUUGGGCCUUUGGUGAUGCCCUCUAGAUCCUUGUGCCCAGCAAGCUUUCCAGUCCAUCUAUGCCCAGGCUUUGCUAUAUUCACUGGAGUAGCUGGCACAGUUGUGGGUCCCCAGCAAAUGCUGAGUCCCCUUGGCCAGUAAGUGACCACUUCCAUUUCAUAAUGAUCACUGUGAUGGUUUAAAUCAGAAAUAUCCCUCAUAGGCUCAGGCAUUCAAACCCUUGGAUCCUGGUUAGUAGUGCUGUUUGGGGAGGUUUAGGUAGUGCAGCCUUGUGGAGGAGGUACAUCACUAGGGGUGGGUUUUGAGAAUGCAUAGCCUAGCCCUAUUACCAGUUCAUUCUGUUUCAUGCUUGUUAAAUAUGUGAUCUCUAAGCUUUCUGUACUGGCUGUCUGCUGUCACGCUGUCUCUACCAUUAUGGACUCUAACCCUCUGAAACUGUAAGACAAAAUAAAGUCUUCUGUUAGUCA
This is a long non-coding RNA of Peromyscus californicus insignis, 2405 nucleotides long. RefSeq lists it as uncharacterized. The transcript has 5 exons. The record is from RefSeq and is a predicted model, not a curated record. NCBI's taxonomy places the organism in Eukaryota, Metazoa, Chordata, Mammalia, Rodentia, Cricetidae.